AGCUCAGUUGGGAGAGCGCUUGCAUGGCAUGCAGGCAAGAGGCGGUUCGAUCCCGCUCAACACCA
This 65-nucleotide transfer RNA is filed under the name Salmonella enterica subsp. enterica. Its description in RNAcentral is "tRNA-Ala". It matches the Rfam family "tRNA", at positions 9 to 71 of the family's 71-position model. Rfam says of the family: Transfer RNA (tRNA) molecules are approximately 80 nucleotides in length. The record is from RNAcentral. Lineage: Bacteria; Pseudomonadati; Pseudomonadota; Gammaproteobacteria; Enterobacterales; Enterobacteriaceae.